RNAcentral lists this ribosomal RNA (253 nucleotides) under uncultured bacterium. Its description in RNAcentral is "partial 16S ribosomal RNA". It matches the Rfam family "Bacterial small subunit ribosomal RNA", at positions 524 to 776 of the family's 1533-position model. The record is from RNAcentral.
UACAGAGGUCUCAAGCGUUGUUCGGAAUCACUGGGCGUAAAGGGUGCGUAGGUGGUUAGGCAAGUCAGAUGUGAAAGCCCGGCGCUUAACGCCGUAAUUGCAUUUGAUACUGCCUGACUAGAGUUUUGAAGGGGAGUCUAGAAUUCACGGUGUAGCAGUGAAAUGCGUGGAUAUCGUGAGGAAUACCAAAGGCGAAGGCAGGACUCUGGGCAAAUACUGACACUGAUGCACGAAGGCUGAGGUAGCAAACGGG